This 568-nucleotide ribosomal RNA is filed under the name Atalacmea fragilis. RNAcentral's name for it is "partial 16S ribosomal RNA". It matches the Rfam family "Bacterial large subunit ribosomal RNA", at positions 1844 to 2592 of the family's 2925-position model. Lineage: Eukaryota; Metazoa; Mollusca; Gastropoda; Lottiidae. The record is from RNAcentral.
CACGGGGGGUCACACCUGCACAAUGCCCUACGGGGUAAAUUGCCGCGGUAUUCUGACCGUGCUAAGGUAGCGUAAUAAGUUGCCUAUUAAUUGUUGGCCUGUAUCAAUGGUUCGACGCUGGUAGCACUGUCUCGGUGAUAUUCGCUUGAAUUUACCCUUUGGGCGAAAAGGCCCAAAUUAGGCUGAAAGACGAUUAGACCCUAUCGAACUUCAGGCGGAGUAGGUUUUAGGGGCGAGAGCCUAAAUAAGAUCUGUGAGGCUUUUGGUUGGGAAAACCGGGAACCAAAAAAAGCGUUCGCCUGAACACAAUGAUAUACGAAGUGAUUAGCCUAAGGGAAACGUAGAAGUAAGUCAGAAAAAGUUCGCCAGAAAUAUUUUUAGCUAAGACUAAGAGCCUCACAGGUGCAUUGUCAUGUAUAGAGUGGGCACAAGGAAAAGUUACCGUAGGGAUAACAGCGUAAUCCCUCCGGCGAGACCACAUUAAGGGAGGGGUUUGCGACCUCGAUGUUGGCUUAGGGCCUCCUGGGGGUGCAGCAGCUCCCAAGGGUUGGUCUGUUCGACCAUUAAA